Molecule: ribosomal RNA, 497 nt
Filed under: uncultured bacterium
Lineage: Bacteria
Description: partial 16S ribosomal RNA
Rfam family: Bacterial small subunit ribosomal RNA
Source: RNAcentral
GAUGAACGCUGGCGGCGUGCCUAAUACAUGCAAGUCGAGCGAACAGACGAGGAGCUUGCUCCUCUGACGUUAGCGGCGGACGGGUGAGUAACACGUGGAUAACCUACCUAUAAGACUGGGAUAACUUCGGGAAACCGGAGCUAAUACCGGAUAAUAUAUUGAACCGCAUGGUUCAAUAGUGAAAGACGGUUUUGCCGUCACUUAUAGAUGGAUCCGCGCCGCAUUAGCUAGUUGGUAAGGUAACGGCUUACCAAGGCAACGAUGCGUAGCCGACCUUAGAGGGUGAUCGGCCACACUGGAACUGAGACACGGUCCAGACUCCUACGGUAGGCAGCAGUAGGGAAUCUUCCGCAAUGGGCGAAAGCCUGACGGAGCAACGCCGCGUGAGUGAUGAAGGUCUUCGGAUCGUAAAACUCUGUUAUUAGGGAAGAACAAAUGUGUAAGUAACUGUGCACGUCUUGACGGUACCUAAUCAGAAAGCCACGGCUAACUACGUG